GUGGCAUUAGCAAAGUGACUAUAAAUAUGCUUGCCACAGAAGUGCAUUAUGGGAAAGCAAUCUGGCCCUAGGAGUUAUCUGACCCAGGCUGGAUGAGAGCUGGCUGAUAGGCAGAGAGGAGCCACCAACCACCAGAGCCAGGACAGGGAGUGGUGCGGUGUGUUCAUGGAGCUCUGAGGAAUGGAGCCUCCAGAGGAGAUGUGAGGAGAGACGCAGCAGAAGAGGCCGGCCAGCGCCAGACCAGGCAGUUAAGAUCUUCCAAGGCAGCCUUGCUCAUUGUCUAUUCUACGGGCAGAGGAAGCCUCUAAUGGCUGUGGAUCACGUGCUUUGCUGAGUAGGGACAGUUCCCCAUCUGAUGAAAGAAUGAGGUGGCCCAUGGAGGGUACAAGCGACCGCCCAAUGCCAGUGCCAGAGAACUCAGUGAGGAACGCCUCACCAGGGUGCCAUACACCCUCCCGAUUUCACAAGCGAAGACUCCAUGAAGCGAGGACUCCAUCUUCAAUCUGAGACUCAGACAAAGGGCUGAACACAGUCAUCUCUGACAGGGUUCUGAACACAACUGGAAAGUAAAUGCCAGGACUAUCAUCCACCUGCCAGCCUCAGCCACUCCUCAGGACACACAAGAAACCUUGACGCUCAAAAAGCCAACAGAUAGUGAGCAGAAUUGGAAGUCCAAGGCAAAGAGCAAAGCCAGCCAAGAGAAAUGACCCACCAGCUUUGCUGCUGGCUUGGGUCUGGAGGAUUAAAGACCACUUUAUAUCACCACCGUGAUGAUGGCAGCCUCCUGUUUCCCACGGGGGCAGCAACAAGGAAGCCAAAGGGCACACCUCCCACGCAGAGGAGAAACUAGACAGUUAGAUGGCAGACAGUCAAGCUCUUUUCCUUUUACAUAUUUUACUGUUUUUACGAACAUGAACACUUGAGAAUCCACAAUCCAUUUUCAACCUGAUCUUCAGUCUAGGGCUUUUAGAGACUCCAAGACUCGAAUCUAGUAUAGCCAGGGGAAGAAGAAAUGACUUCAGAAAGGUAGACUGCUAGGCAUCGUGAGAAACUGUCCUUUGCUGAGUGUUCUCACUGUCAAUGGCUUCUUUGUAUCUGAAGGUUUCUAAACCUCCUGGAUGGUCGAAUAUGCUGUAGAAUGCAGUAUUUAAAGUACAACAGUACUAGUACCCCUUGAAUAACUCUACAGCAGAUCUCAUUUGUAGUAUUUACCUGCAUACAUCUGAAGGAUUUCUAAUUCAGUUGAAUUAAAGCUUGUUAUUCUUUC
Long non-coding RNA from Dipodomys spectabilis (banner-tailed kangaroo rat), 1267 nucleotides. RefSeq lists it as uncharacterized. NCBI's taxonomy places the organism in Eukaryota, Metazoa, Chordata, Mammalia, Rodentia, Heteromyidae. The transcript is spliced from 2 exons. The record is from RefSeq and is a predicted model, not a curated record.